UAAGGAAUAUUGGUCAAUGCCCGGAAGGGUGAACCAGCCAUCCCGCGUGAAGGAUGAAGGGGCUCUGCCUUGUAAACUUCUUUUGAAUGGGACGAAAAAGCCUCACUUGUGAGGAACUGACGGUACCAUUAGAAUAAGCACCGGCUAACUCCGUGCCAGCAGCCGCGGUAAUACGGAGGGUGCGAGCGUUAUCCGGAAUCACUGGGUUUAAAGGGUGCGUAGGCGGCUGUAUAAGUCAGUGGUGAAAGGCUGUGGCUUAACCAUGGGAGUGCCAUUGAUACUGUACGGCUUGAAUUAGGAUGAGGUUGGCGGAAUGUGACAUGUAGCGGUGAAAUGCUUAGAUAUGUCAUGGAACAUCGAUUGCGAAGGCAGCUGACUGGACCUUAAUUGACGCUGAGGCACGAAAGCGUGGGGAGCGAACAGGAUUAGAUACCCGCGUAGUCCCUGAGCGGGCUGGCAAGGCGCAU
RNAcentral lists this ribosomal RNA (467 nucleotides) under uncultured bacterium. Its description in RNAcentral is "bacterial SSU rRNA". It matches the Rfam family "Bacterial small subunit ribosomal RNA", at positions 355 to 825 of the family's 1533-position model. The record is from RNAcentral.